GAACGAACGCUGGCGGCAGGCUUAACACAUGCAAGUCGAACGAUAUAGUGGCAGACGGGUGAGUAACGCGUGGAAACGUGCCUUUCACUACGGAAUAGCUUUUGGAAACGAAAGGUAAUACCGUAUACGCCCUCCGGGGGAAAGAUUUAUCGGUGAAAGAUCGGUCCGCGUUAGAUUAGCUAGUUGGUGAGGUAACGGCUCACCAAGGCUACGAUCUAUAGCUGGUCUGAGAGGAUGAUCAGCCACACUGGGACUGAGACACGGCCCAGACUCCUACGGGAGGCAGCAGUGGGGAAUAUUGCACAAUGGGCGCAAGCCUGAUGCAGCCAUGCCGCGUGAAUGAUGAAGGCCUUAGGGUUGUAAAAUUCUUUCGCCAGGGAUGAUAAUGACAGUACCUGGUAAAGAAGCCCCGGCUAACUUCGUGCCAGCAGCCGCGGUAAUACGAAGGGGGCUAGCGUUGUUCGGAAUUACUGGGCGUAAAGCGCACGUAGGCGGACUUUUAAGUCAGAUGUGAAAUCCCGAGGCUCAACCUCGGAACUGCAUUUGAAACUGGGAGUCUAGAGAUCAGGAGAGGUUAGCGGAAUACCGAGUGUAGAGGUGAAAUUCGUUAGAUAUUCGGUGGAACACCAGUGGCGAAGGCGGCUAACUGGACUGAUACUGACGCUGAGGUGCGAAAGUGUGGGGAGCAAACAGGAUUAGAUACCCUGGUAGUCCACACCGUAAACGAUGAGUGCUAGUUGUCUGCAGGCAUGCCUGUAGGUGACGCAGCUAACGCAUUAAGCACUCCGCCUGGGGAGUACGGCCGCAAGGUUAAAACUCAAAGAAAUUGACGGGGGCCCGCACAAGCGGUGGAGCAUGUGGUUUAAUUCGAAGCAACGCGCAGAACCUUACCUACGCUUGACAUGCCCGGACGAUUUCCAGAGAUGGAUCUCUCCCUUCGGGGCCGGUGCACAGGUGCUGCAUGGCUGUCGUCAGCUCGUGUCGUGAGAUGUUGGGUUAAGUCCCGCAACGAGCGCAACCCUCAUCCUUAGUUGCCAUCACGUUUGGGUGGGCACUCUAGGGAAACUGCCGGUGCUAAGCCGGAGGAAGGCGGGGAUGACGUCAAGUCCUCAUGGCCCUUACGCGUAGGGCUACACACGUGCUACAAUGGCAGUGACAAUGGGAUAAUCCCCAAAAGCUGUCUCAGUUCGGAUUGUCGGCUGCAACUCGCCGGCAUGAAGUUGGAAUCGCUAGUAAUCGUGGAUCAGCAUGCCACGGUGAAUACGUUCCCGGGCCUUGUACACACCGCCCGUCACACCAUGGGAGUUGGAUCUACCCGAAGAUUGUGAGCUAACUUCGGAGGCAGCAAGCCACGGUAGGUUCAGCGACUGGGGU
Molecule: ribosomal RNA, 1374 nt
Filed under: uncultured prokaryote
Description: partial 16S ribosomal RNA
Rfam family: Bacterial small subunit ribosomal RNA
Source: RNAcentral